AAUAAGCUAUUUAAGAGCGUAAGGUGGAUGCCUUGGCUCUCAGAGGCGAUGAAGGACGUGAUAAGCUGCGAUAAGCUACGGGGAUUGGCACACACAAUUUGAUCCGUAGAUUUCCGAAUGGGGCAACCCACUAUAUUGAAGAUAUAGUAUCCGUUAAGGAAGCAAACCCAGGGAACUGAAACAUCUAAGUACCUGGAGGAAUAGAAAACAAAAGUGAUUCCGCUAGUAGUGGCGAGCGAACGCGGAACAGCCCAAACCAAAAUUGUUUCGGCAAUUUUGGGGUUGUAGGACCACGACAUUGAAUGUUUAAUGAAUUAGAAUUCUUU
Molecule: ribosomal RNA, 326 nt
Filed under: uncultured Flavobacteriaceae bacterium
Lineage: Bacteria; Pseudomonadati; Bacteroidota; Flavobacteriia; Flavobacteriales; Flavobacteriaceae
Description: bacterial LSU rRNA
Rfam family: Bacterial large subunit ribosomal RNA
Source: RNAcentral